This 73-nucleotide transfer RNA is filed under the name Lachnospira sp. RNAcentral describes it as "tRNA-Asn". It matches the Rfam family "tRNA". Rfam says of the family: Transfer RNA (tRNA) molecules are approximately 80 nucleotides in length. Their secondary structure includes four short double-helical elements and three loops (D, anti-codon, and T loops). The record is from RNAcentral. Lineage: Bacteria; Bacillati; Bacillota; Clostridia; Lachnospirales; Lachnospiraceae.
UCCUCGAUAGCUCAGUCGGUAGAGCUCACGGCUGUUAACCGUGUUGUCGUAGGUUCGAGCCCUACUCGGGGAG